GAUGAACGCUAGCUACAGGCUUAACACAUGCAAGUCGAGGGGCAGCAUGGUCUUAGCUUGCUAAGGCCGAUGGCGACCGGCGCACGGGUGAGUAACACGUAUCCAACCUGCCGUCUACUCUUGGACAGCCUUCUGAAAGGAAGAUUAAUACAAGAUGGCAUCAUGAGUCCGCAUGUUCACAUGAUUAAAGGUAUUCCGGUAGACGAUGGGGAUGCGUUCCAUUAGAUAGUAGGCGGGGUAACGGCCCACCUAGUCUUCGAUGGAUAGGGGUUCUGAGAGGAAGGUCCCCCACAUUGGAACUGAGACACGGUCCAAACUCCUACUGGAGGCAGCAGUGAGGAAUAUUGGGCAAUGGGCGAGAGCCUGAACCAGCCAAGUAGCGUGAAGGAGGACUGCCCUAUGGGUUGUAAACUUCUUUUAUAAAGGAAUAAAGUCGGGUAUGGAUACCCGUUUGCAUGUACUUUAUGAAUAAGGAUCGGCUAACUCCGUG
This 490-nucleotide ribosomal RNA is filed under the name uncultured bacterium. Its description in RNAcentral is "partial 16S ribosomal RNA". It matches the Rfam family "Bacterial small subunit ribosomal RNA", at positions 28 to 507 of the family's 1533-position model. The record is from RNAcentral.